This 497-nucleotide ribosomal RNA is filed under the name uncultured bacterium. RNAcentral's name for it is "partial 16S ribosomal RNA". It matches the Rfam family "Bacterial small subunit ribosomal RNA", at positions 28 to 507 of the family's 1533-position model. The record is from RNAcentral.
GAUGAACGCUGGCGGCGUGCCUAAUACAUGCCAGUCGAGCGAACAGACGAGGAGCUUGCUCCUUUGACGUUAGCGGCGGACGGGUGAGUAACAUGUAGGUAACCUACCUAUAAGACUGGGAUAACUUCGGGAAACCGGAGCUAAUACCGGAUAAUAUUUCGAACCGCAUGGUUCGAUAGUGAAAGAUGGCUUUGCUAUCACUUAUAGAUGGACCUGCGCCGUAUUAGCUAGUUGGUAAGGUAACGGCUUACCAAGGCAACGAUACGUAGCCGACCUGAGAGGGUGAUCGGCCACACUGGAACUGAGACACGGUCCAGACUCCUACGGGAGGCAGCAGUAGGGAAUCUUCCGCAAUGGGCGAAAGCCUGACGGAGCAACGCCGCGUGAGUGAUGAAGGUCUUCGGAUCGUAAAACUCUGUUAUUAGGGAAGAACAAACGUGUAAGUAACUGUGCACGUCUUGACGGUACCUAAUCAGAAAGCCACGGCUAACUACGUG